GGGGGAUUUGGGUCCCAAUGGGUCCCAAUGGGGGGUUAUGGGUCCCAAUGUGGGUCAGGGGUCCCAUUGUUGGGUUGGACCCCUAUAAUAUGGGGUUUAUAUGGGGUGGGGGUCCCUGCUUUAACCCCCCAUUGCCCCCCAAUGGGGUCAUUUGGGGUCCCAAUGGGGGGAUUUGGGGUCUCAAUGGGUCCCAAUGGGGGGUUAUGGGUCCCAAUGGGUCCCAAUGGGGGGUUAUGGGUCCCAGUGGGUCCCAAUGGGGGUUGGGGGUCCCAAUGGGGGGAUUAGGGGUCCCAAUGGGUCCCAAUGGGGGGGUUGGGGGUCCCAAUGGGUCCCAAUGGGGGGAUUGGGGGUCCCAAUGGGGGGAUUUGGGGUCCCAAUGGGUCCCAAUGGGGGGAUUUGGGGUCUCAAUGGGGUCAUUUGGGGUCCCAAUGGGGUUUGGGGUCCCAAUGGGUCCCAAUGGGGGGUUGUGGGUCCCAUUGUUGUUGUGGACCCCUAUAAUAUGGGGUUUAUAUGGGGUGGGGGUCCCUACUUUGGGGUCCCAAUGGGGGGUUGGGGGUCCCAAUGGGGGGAUUUGGGGUCCCAAUGGGUCCCAAUGGGGGGUUGGGGGUCCCAGUGGGGUCUCAAUGGGUCUCAAUGGGGGGAUUUGGGGUCUCAAUGGGUCCCAAUGGGGGGAUUUGGGGUC
This 682-nucleotide long non-coding RNA is filed under the name Coturnix japonica (Japanese quail). RNAcentral describes it as "lncRNA (ENSCJPG00005001741.1)". Lineage: Eukaryota; Metazoa; Chordata; Aves; Galliformes; Phasianidae. The record is from RNAcentral.